Molecule: ribosomal RNA, 204 nt
Filed under: Kingella kingae
Lineage: Bacteria; Pseudomonadati; Pseudomonadota; Betaproteobacteria; Neisseriales; Neisseriaceae
Description: partial 23S ribosomal RNA
Rfam family: Bacterial large subunit ribosomal RNA
Source: RNAcentral
UAAGUGCAUCAGGUGGAUGCCUUGGCGAUGAUAGGCGAAGAAGGACGUGUAAGCCUGCGAAAAGCACGGAGAAGCUGGCAAAAAAGCAAUGAUACCGUGAUGUCCGAAUGGGGAAACCCACUGCACUCGUGCAGUAUCCUAGUCUGAAUACAUAGGGCUAGAGAAGCGAACCUGGAGAACUGAACCUGUCUCUUAUACACAUCU